Molecule: ribosomal RNA, 960 nt
Filed under: Lacticaseibacillus paracasei
Lineage: Bacteria; Bacillati; Bacillota; Bacilli; Lactobacillales; Lactobacillaceae
Description: bacterial SSU rRNA
Rfam family: Bacterial small subunit ribosomal RNA
Source: RNAcentral
ACCGAGAUUCAACAUGGAACGAGUGGCGGACGGGUGAGUAACACGUGGGUAACCUGCCCUUAAGUGGGGGAUAACAUUUGGAAACAGAUGCUAAUACCGCAUAGAUCCAAGAACCGCAUGGUUCUUGGCUGAAAGAUGGCGUAAGCUAUCGCUUUUGGAUGGACCCGCGGCGUAUUAGCUAGUUGGUGAGGUAACGGCUCACCAAGGCGAUGAUACGUAGCCGAACUGAGAGGUUGAUCGGCCACAUUGGGACUGAGACACGGCCCAAACUCCUACGGGAGGCAGCAGUAGGGAAUCUUCCACAAUGGACGCAAGUCUGAUGGAGCAACGCCGCGUGAGUGAAGAAGGCUUUCGGGUCGUAAAACUCUGUUGUUGGAGAAGAAUGGUCGGCAGAGUAACUGUUGUCGGCGUGACGGUAUCCAACCAGAAAGCCACGGCUAACUACGUGCCAGCAGCCGCGGUAAUACGUAGGUGGCAAGCGUUAUCCGGAUUUAUUGGGCGUAAAGCGAGCGCAGGCGGUUUUUUAAGUCUGAUGUGAAAGCCCUCGGCUUAACCGAGGAAGCGCAUCGGAAACUGGGAAACUUGAGUGCAGAAGAGGACAGUGGAACUCCAUGUGUAGCGGUGAAAUGCGUAGAUAUAUGGAAGAACACCAGUGGCGAAGGCGGCUGUCUGGUCUGUAACUGACGCUGAGGCUCGAAAGCAUGGGUAGCGAACAGGAUUAGAUACCCUGGUAGUCCAUGCCGUAAACGAUGAAUGCUAGGUGUUGGAGGGUUUCCGCCCUUCAGUGCCGCAGCUAACGCAUUAAGCAUUCCGCCUGGGGAGUACGACCGCAAGGUUGAAACUCAAAGGAAUUGACGGGGGCCCGCACAAGCGGUGGAGCAUGUGGUUUAAUUCGAAGCAACGCGAAGAACCUUACCAGGUCUUGACAUCUUUUGAUCACCUGAGAGAUCAGGUUUCCCC